UGUCCAUUAGCUAAGCUAUAUUAUAAGCCAUAAAUGUAACUAUUUAUAAACCACUUUCAAAAUUCGAAAUAAAAUUAAUAUUUCAUAUGAGAUAGCUAAGAGUGAGAAAGCAGUUAAGCUGCAUUUUUACUAGGCUAAAGGCUCCCUUUCACGUUACGUGCAUUUGCUUAUAUUGCUGUUUUACUUGUAUAAUUAUGUGGCUUUCAUAGUGCAAAACAUAUUUAAAAGUAGGCUAUUUAAAUAUGAUUACAGAACCGUAAAUGGGGUAAUACAUUAAAUAACAAAUAAAUAACAAAGCAUAUAUGCAAAUGUUAAACACUAAACGUUAGUUCGAUAAACAAUAGUUUAAUAUUAAAAAUUAAACAGUCAAUUAAUUUAUAAGGACAAGAUAAAUUACUAAUGUUUGCUUGUUUGCUUAAAAGAGAACGUCCAUUCAUCACCCUGUGUCCCGCCGUAUGUAUGACGUCACAUAUCCGCGACACAUUCGUGAAAACAAGAGUUAUGGGUUUUUGCACGCGUUUCGAAGUUGUAAAUCUGAUUAAAGUGGAGUUCUGUAGUACUGCCUAAUACGACGCUGGGAAUUACAUUUCGGAGCUGACUGUAACAGCAUAACAUCUGAAACAUGUCAGACAUCGUAUUGAAAAUGGAGAUUAAAGAGGAAAGUGAGGACACGGGAUAUGAAGAAGCAUACAGGAUGAAAACUGAAGAUGCAAAGGUGUUCCAAGAUAAAGAAACAGCUCAGUUUCAGUGCAUUUUCCACCAAUUCUUUUUCGUGAGUUGGGACACAUGCAAAGACAUUGUGGGUGACUGGAAGAAGCAAAGGAUACACUUGAUGGAUUCUCCAAAAUAUGGCGAAUGAGGGAUUCGAAACUAAGGCUGUAUUCCAAGGAUCCUUCGACCGCUUGAUGACCUGGCCAAUGAGGUAUGCAGCCUUACUAGGAUGCAGCUGUAUGAAUGAGAAGCACUCACUGUCACUGUUAUAGAAACAACUAUAAAAGUAAUGUAAAACUUAUGCAGUUAGGAUGGGGUGGACAAACUUGAGAUUUAUCAAAUGAAGAUCACAAUUAAUCUGGAAAUGUUUACCCAGGGCGGUCCCCUUCAUUGUAUAAUGCCAAAAGAAAUUAAAAAUAAAUUGAAAGAACAAAAUACA
Cyprinus carpio (common carp) is the source of this 1150-nucleotide long non-coding RNA. The record is from Ensembl. Lineage: Eukaryota; Metazoa; Chordata; Actinopteri; Cypriniformes; Cyprinidae.